This 236-nucleotide long non-coding RNA is filed under the name Panax ginseng (ginseng). RNAcentral describes it as "long non-coding RNA (PGIN_LNC017633)". Lineage: Eukaryota; Viridiplantae; Streptophyta; Magnoliopsida; Apiales; Araliaceae. The record is from RNAcentral.
GCGGAUAUUAUCAUUACUAAUUUAAUUAUAUUACAGCAUAAUAUUAUUCCAUUUAUAAUUAUAUUACAACAUAAUAUUAUACAGUUUAAAACAUUUAAAACAAUAUUAAAAUAACAAAUAAUAUCAAUCAUAACUUACUAUGUUUAUUUUAUAAUCUCAUAAAUCACUAUUUUCUCAAUCUAAACGGUUUUUAUAUUAUUAUUAUUAUUUUGAUUUUAUAAUCCCCUAAAUCACUA